AGCAGGAGAUUUCCUGGUUCCCGAGCCCUCGGGGCCCGCGACUGGCGUUUUUUCCUCGGAGCGGCUGAGAACCUGCGAGUUCCCCUCUGGGCCUCCCAGCGUAUCUUAGUUAAGGCGUCCCCGAGGCCUAGCGUGCUGGUUACCAGAGCUUCUAGAAGCGGCUUGCCGGCUCCUGGCAUUUUCCGGGCCAGACUGGUUCUGAGGACGCGUCAGGGAGACCGUUGGACCCAGGUCUAGCGUUGCCUUCGUUCGGCCAGCGCCCGGGAGCUCGACUCCAGAUUCCCUGGGGCUGGAGAAGCCGUUGUUUCGUCCGUCGGGGCCAGAGGUGCAGAUGACUAAGGGGUUGUUUGUCAUCCAGAAUUCUACAGUUUUGUGAUUCUUUUGUGAUUUAUAUUUAAUGAGCAUGUCAAUUUCCAAGAUUAAUCAUGAAAAUUUUGAUUUGGAAGAGACCCUUUGUUUGGAAUAUGUUUGCCCUAGAUAUCUUCAUGGCUUAUUCUCUACCAAAAUGGAUUCUGUGGGACUGCCCUUUUAUUUUGUUAUAAUUGGUCCACUUUAUGGUUUUUUCCUUUCCCUUCAUUUGGAAGAGCUGUUA
Eubalaena glacialis (North Atlantic right whale) is the source of this 592-nucleotide long non-coding RNA. RefSeq lists it as uncharacterized. The transcript is spliced from 3 exons. The record is from RefSeq and is a predicted model, not a curated record. Lineage: Eukaryota; Metazoa; Chordata; Mammalia; Artiodactyla; Balaenidae.